This 359-nucleotide ribosomal RNA is filed under the name uncultured bacterium. RNAcentral describes it as "bacterial SSU rRNA". It matches the Rfam family "Bacterial small subunit ribosomal RNA", at positions 917 to 1268 of the family's 1533-position model. The record is from RNAcentral.
GGGCCCGCACAAGCGGUGGAGCAUGUGGUUUAAUUCGAUGCAACGCGAAGAACCUUACCUGGUCUUGACAUACACAGAAUCUUGUAGAGAUACGAGAGUGCCUUCGGGAAUUGUGAUACAGGUGCUGCAUGGCUGUCGUCAGCUCGUGUCGUGAGAUGUUGGGUUAAGUCCCCGCAACGAGCGCAACCCCUUGUCCUUAGUUUACCAGCGGGGUUAAGCCCGGGAACCUCUAAGAUACUGCCAGUGACAAAACUGGAGGAAGGGCGGGGACGACGUCAAGUCAUCAUGGCCCUUACGACCAGGGCUACACACGUGCUACAAUGGUAGGUACAGAGGGCAGCUACACAGCGAUGUGAUGC